GAUGAACGCUGGCGGCGUGCCUAAUACAUGCCAGUCGAGCGAACAGAUGAGGAGCUUGCUCCUCUGACGUUAGCGGCGGACGGGUGAGUAACACGUGGAUAACCUACCUAUAAGACUGGGAUAACUUCGGGAAACCGGAGCUAAUACCGGGUAAUAUAUUUAACCGCAUGGUUCAAUAGUGAAAGACGGUUUUGCUGUCACUUAUAGAUGGAUCCGCGCCGCAUUAGCUAGUUGGUAAGGUAACGGCUUACCAAGGCAACGAUGCGUAGCCGACCUGAGAGGGUGAUCGGCCACACUGGAACUGAGACACGGUCCAGACUCCUACGGGAGGCAGCAGUAGGGAAUCUUCCGCAAUGGGCGAAAGCCUGACGGAGCAACGCCGCGUGAGUGAUGAAGGUCUUCGGAUCGUAAAACUCUGUUAUUAGGGAAGAACAAAUGUGUAAGAAACUAUGCACGUCUUGACGGUACCUAAUCAGAAAGCCACGGCUAACUACGUG
Molecule: ribosomal RNA, 497 nt
Filed under: uncultured bacterium
Lineage: Bacteria
Description: partial 16S ribosomal RNA
Rfam family: Bacterial small subunit ribosomal RNA
Source: RNAcentral